GCCGGUGUGGCGGAAUCGGCAGACGCACGGGACUUAAAAUCCCGCGAUAUGAGAGUAUCGUACCGGUUCAAGUCCGGUCACCGGCA
RNAcentral lists this transfer RNA (86 nucleotides) under Clostridia bacterium. Its description in RNAcentral is "tRNA-Leu". It matches the Rfam family "tRNA". Rfam says of the family: Transfer RNA (tRNA) molecules are approximately 80 nucleotides in length. Their secondary structure includes four short double-helical elements and three loops (D, anti-codon, and T loops). The record is from RNAcentral. Lineage: Bacteria; Bacillati; Bacillota; Clostridia.